Molecule: ribosomal RNA, 490 nt
Filed under: uncultured bacterium
Lineage: Bacteria
Description: partial 16S ribosomal RNA
Rfam family: Bacterial small subunit ribosomal RNA
Source: RNAcentral
AUUGAACGCUGGCGGCAGGCCUAACACAUGCCAGUCGAACGGUAACAGGAAGCAGCUUGCUGCUUUGCUGACGAGUGGCUGACGGGUGAGUAAUGUCUGGGAAACUGCCCGAUGGAGGGGGAUAACUACUGGAAACGGUAGCUAAUACCGCAUAACGUCGCAAGACCAAAGAGGGGGACCUUAGGGCCUCUUGCCAUCGGAUGUGCCCAGAUGGGAUUAGCUAGUAGGUGGGGUAACGGCUCACCUAGGCGACGAUCCCUAGCUGGUCUGAGAGGAUGACCAGCCACACUGGAACUGAGACACGGUCCAGACUCCUACGGGAGGCAGCAGUGGGGAAUAUUGCACAAUGGGCGCAAGCCUGAUGCAGCCAUGCCGCGUGUAUGAAGAAGGCCUUCGGGUUGUAAAGUACUUUCAGCGGGGAGGAAGGGAGUAAAGUUAAUACCUUUGCUCAUUGACGUUACCCGCAGAAGAAGCACCGGCUAACUCCGUG